Macaca mulatta (Rhesus monkey) is the source of this 2335-nucleotide long non-coding RNA. The record is from Ensembl. Lineage: Eukaryota; Metazoa; Chordata; Mammalia; Primates; Cercopithecidae.
AAUUUGAUGUUGGAGGUGGGGCAAAAGAUGUCAAAUUCUAUGCCUGCUGUAGUUGCUUAGGCACUCUAUGCAGACCACCAAAAGCCCUCUUUGAAGUGAAAGUGUUAGGACUCCUGUGAGAAGCCAUAAAGAACCUUUAAUAUUGAUGGUGGUGGGCUCCAAACACUGAAAUUAAUACUUGUGAAAUAAAGGUGGAAAGAAAAAUUAUCUCCUUCUUAUUGAGUUCUUUCUGAUACAAGGUACUGUGUGAAGUCUUUGACAUGAACUUUUCUCAGUUAAGCCUUAAGCCCCUACAUGGUGGCACUGUUAUCACCUCUCCUUUACGAUGUUGAAAAGGAGGGAUGGUGAUGCUUUGUCACUUUCCCCAGUCACUCUCAAGACCUCUCAAACUACAAAGCUGGUGGUCAUAGCCAUGCUGUGAUACUGUCCCUGCCCUUGGUGGUGGACCCAGCCUUCUCUGCUGAUACCAGGCAAAGGUGAAUCCUAGCUGAGGGUCUGAGCUGCGCCUUUGCUCCCAGCCUGCCUCCUCUGUGGUGGGCUGAUAGCUGGCUUUUAGGUGGUAAGCUUCAGGAGGCAGACAUCUGAGACAAAGCUGAGAUUGUAGUUCUUAGGCUUCCCGGGUAACUGCCACUAUGUGUUUUUAUGCCCCAGGAGAAAUGUGUGUAACGUGUUUGGUGCCCUCUUUGGGGUUUUAGGAGGAAAUGGACCAGGGAAAAGUCACAGUGUCUCAAGAAAGACAAUGCCACAAUACCUCACCAUGAUGUCACAUUGAAAGAUUACAAAGCCAGAACACAGCAAAGCCACCAUGGCCCUAAGCCACCAUGGCAAGUGGGUGUCAGGAUGCUGUGAUGUAAUUACCAGAUCGACAAACCAGAGCUCUGUAACAGCACAUGACCAGAGCCUUCACCACCACAAAAUGGGACCUGACACCAACACAACUCCACACUGAGGUUACAACCUGGCUCUACAAAGGACAACACUGCAUGACACCACCACACCAUAACAUUUGGAGAAGCCGGUUCAUGCGACUUAAAGCACCUGGGAGCCCAUGGUCAGCUGAGCUGUGUGAUGCUCCAUCUCUGCAGAUGUCUGGGGACCUGGCCAGAGCUGUACCCCAUGAGGAGCUAGAGACACAAACGGAACUUACUCUAAGGCAACAAUAAUAAGUAGCAUGAGAAAAUAUGAUGCGGCUGUUUUUACUGCCAUCAUUUUGCUUAAUUAAAUAAAAUCUGCAGGGAUGUGUAGCAGGGGUUACUCCUCUGUCAUGUGCCCUUUUUCUCCUGGUUAUUUUGAUCCUGGCACCCACCUAUAACCCAAGCCCUGUCAUGACUGGUUAUUUUCAAAUCUGCAAUCAUUUCUUCUUGUUGACUUGCUGAAACUUCACCCUAUUUUGGAGCACAGAAAGUUGGCUCCUAAAAGUGGGGUCCACAGGUGGAGGCCUGGAGAGAGUGAGCGCAGAUAUUCAAAUGCAAGCUCAUUAAUAUUGUGUAGGAGUCAGACACAUAGACACACGUCCACAAUGGCGUUAUUCACAAUAGCAAAAAGGUGGAAACAACCCAAAUGUUCAUCAGUGAAUGAAUGGAUAAAUACACUGUGGUGUACACCUACAAUAGAACAUUAUUCGAUCACAGAGAGAAAUGAUGUACUGACAUAUGCCGCAAUGUGGACGAACCCCGAAAAUAUGCUAAGAAGCUAGACUGAAAAGUCACAUAUUGUAUUAUUCCAUUUAUAUCAAAGAGCUAGAAUAGGUAAAUCCACAGAGAGAAUGCAGACUGGUAGUUGCCAGGGUCUUGGGGUAGAAAGGAAUGGGAAUAGCUGAUUGCAGAUUUGAAAAUAUUUUGGAACUAGAUAAAGAUUGUGGCUGCAUGACAUUGUAAAUGUACUAAAUGCCACUGAACCAUUCAUUUUAAAAUGGUUAAUUUCAUAUAUGAAUCUCAAGUGAGGCCAAAUUUUAAAAAGUGCUACGAGGAGAGAUUUGUUCAAAGCAUUAAAUAGUUGUAAAGCACUUAAGCCAUGCCAGCAAUGACUUUGCCCUUCAAUGGAAGCAGGAUAUGUAUUUUUCCAUCCUUGCACAUUCCAAGCGGACAGCAAAUUUCCCUCGCUGGCAGGAGGGAAGGCAGCCUCUGGGAAGGCUGCCGGGAAAAUGAUGUGAAUGAGAAGAGGUGCUGGGGAAGGGAGAAGAGCCCAGGCCGGAGAGUUAGACUCAACAUCCAGAUCUUCCACCUGAGCCAUGGGAGCGGGAAGGAGAUCUAUUUUUUAAUUUAGGUUUUCUGUGACCUACACCUCCCCCCCCAAAAAAAAAAUCAAUCAGAGGAUACGUAAUUAAAUAGCAAUA